CAUGACUGUGUGGAGAAAGUUCUUUCCCUGAGGACCAUCUGGAGUGGACGCGUGCACUACCCCUCUCUGAAUACACCCUCCCCACGAGGCCCUCUGGAGCAUCCUGUAGAGCCAGCUCUUACCCAGAGACCCUGAGCCCAGAGAAUGUGCUGGGUGGUGAGCCUGGGGACGAAUGCAGAGCCCUAGAUCUCCUCUCCAGAAGUUGGAGUGCCGUGGUGUGGUCAUAGCCCACUGAAGCCUCAAACCUCUGGGCUGAAGCCAUCCUUCCGCCUCAGCCUCCCAAGUAGCUGGGACCAUAGGUGCAUGGCACUGUGCCUGGCACUGUCUGAAUGCAUACAGCUGCGUAGCAUCGUGGUAAGAAUACCCGCCCUGACAUCACACAGACCUGCAUCCACGUCCCAGCUGAGCCUCAGUUCUCACAUCUGCAAAAUGGGGAGAACAACAGCAGCAGCGUCCUGAGGCUGGGGUGAGGACCGAGUGAAAAACCUUUAUCGCAUCUUUGGGCAUCGCAGGAGUUCAAUAAAUGUUAGCUAUCGUUGUCACUU
RNAcentral lists this long non-coding RNA (545 nucleotides) under Pan troglodytes (chimpanzee). RNAcentral describes it as "lincRNA". Lineage: Eukaryota; Metazoa; Chordata; Mammalia; Primates; Hominidae. The record is from RNAcentral.